RNAcentral lists this non-coding RNA (162 nucleotides) under Candidatus Ventrimonas merdavium. RNAcentral's name for it is "Lysine riboswitch". It matches the Rfam family "Lysine riboswitch aptamer". Rfam says of the family: Riboswitches are metabolite binding domains within certain messenger RNAs that serve as precision sensors for their corresponding targets. Allosteric rearrangement of mRNA structure is mediated by ligand binding, and this results in modulation of gene expression. The record is from RNAcentral. Lineage: Bacteria; Bacillati; Bacillota; Clostridia; Lachnospirales; Lachnospiraceae.
UGAUAGAGGUGCGGUUUUCAUCAGUACCGGGGAGCAAGAGGCAGGACCGCCGCUCCCGGGAAAGGGGACGCCGCCGAAGGGCGCGCUGCCGGUCCGGGCAGCCCGUUCUGGGAUGCCGCAGAAGAUGCGGGCAUACUGUCACGAUAAGUGGAGCGCUAUCUG